This 259-nucleotide ribosomal RNA is filed under the name Triticum aestivum (bread wheat). Its description in RNAcentral is "partial small subunit ribosomal RNA". It matches the Rfam family "Bacterial small subunit ribosomal RNA", at positions 1202 to 1458 of the family's 1533-position model. Lineage: Eukaryota; Viridiplantae; Streptophyta; Magnoliopsida; Poales; Poaceae. The record is from RNAcentral.
UUAUGCCCUGGGCGACACACGUGCUACAAUGGGCGGGACAAAGGGUCGCGAUCUCGCGAGGGUGAGCUAACUCCAAAAACCCGUCCUCAGUUCGGAUUGCAGGCUGCAACUCGCCUGCAUGAAGCAGGAAUCGCUAGUAAUCGCCGGUCAGCCAUACGGCGGUGAAUCCGUUCCCGGGCCUUGUACACACCGCCCGUCACACUAUAGGAGCUGGCCAUGUUUGAAGUCAUUACCCUUAACCGUAAGGAGGGGGAUGCCC